Molecule: ribosomal RNA, 447 nt
Filed under: uncultured bacterium
Lineage: Bacteria
Description: bacterial SSU rRNA
Rfam family: Bacterial small subunit ribosomal RNA
Source: RNAcentral
UGGGGAAUAUUGGACAAUGGGCGCAAGCCUGAUCCAGCCAUGCCGCGUGAGUGAUGAAGGCCUUAGGGUUGUAAUGCUCUUUUUGGCGGGGACGAUAAUGACGGUACCCGCAGAAUAAGCCCCGGCUAACUUCGUGCCAGCAGCCGCGGUAAUACGAAGGGGGCUAGCGUUGUUCGGAAUUACUGGGCGUAAAGCGCACGUAGGCGGAUCGGCAAGUCAGGGGUGAAAUCCCGGGGCUCAACCUCGGAACUGCCUCCGAUACAGCACGUCUCGAGUCCGGAAGAGGUGAGUGGAAUUCCUAGUGUAGAGGUGAAAUUCGUAGAUAUUCGCAGGAACACCAGUGGCAAGGCGACUUGCUGGGCUUGUAGUGAAGCUGAGACGCGAAAGCGUGGGGAGCAAACAGGAUUAGAUACCCUAGUAGUCCCUGAGCGGGCUGGCAAGGCGCAU